GAAAAGAAAAAAGAAAGAAAGAAGAAGACAGAGGAGAGGGUGGAGCGUUGGAGACGAACGAUGGAGCUUGAAGCACUCGUUAGCAAUGGUGGGCCGAACAGUUGAGGAAGGGAGAAUGUAGACGGUUAUUGUUGAGGGAAGUUGGUGAGUCCUUGUGAAGAAGAAGACAUGAGGUGUUGAGAGGAAAGAAAGAUCAAGAAGAAGGUGGGGAAGAAGAGGCCGAAAACUGAGGGGGCACGACCUGACCCGACUCGACCCACCUAUACAGAACCGAAACCCAAUUUGUUUUCCCAUUUCACACCAUCUGAUUCGUCUUUAUUCAGAUUUAGGUACUUGACUCACACAUUUCAUAAAUGCCUUAUUAUAGGAAAAUUCCAAGCUUAAUCAAGGGGACACUUGAAGACUCGAUAAAGUUUUGGAAAGUCUACGAUCAGGAGAAAAGUAGAUCUGGGUCGAUGGCGGAGACAGGUGGAGUCGUGCAGUUGCAAAGGGG
Molecule: long non-coding RNA, 493 nt
Organism: Cucurbita maxima (winter squash)
Lineage: Eukaryota; Viridiplantae; Streptophyta; Magnoliopsida; Cucurbitales; Cucurbitaceae
Exons: 3
Source: RefSeq, a predicted model, not a curated record